RNAcentral lists this ribosomal RNA (892 nucleotides) under uncultured bacterium. RNAcentral's name for it is "bacterial SSU rRNA". It matches the Rfam family "Bacterial small subunit ribosomal RNA", at positions 19 to 906 of the family's 1533-position model. The record is from RNAcentral.
AUGGCUCAGAGCGAACGCUGGCGGCGUGGAUUAGGCAUGCAAGUCGAACGGGAUCAGGCCGCAAGGUUUGAUUCAGUGGCGAAAGGGCGAGUAAUACAUCGAUCAUCUGCCCCAGGGCCCGGAACAACACUUGGAAACGAGUGCUAAUACCGGAUGGUCCAGAAAUGGUAAACGGCGGGGACCGCAAGGCCUGCCGCCCAGGGAGGAGUCGAUGGCCUAUCAGCUUGUUGGUGAGGUAACGGCUCACCAAGGCGAAGACGGGUAGCCGGACUGAGAGGUUGGUCGGCCGCACUGGGACUGGGACACUGCCCAGACUCCUACGGGAGGCUGCAGUCGAGGAUCUUCCGCAAUGGGGGCAACCCUGACGGAGCGACGCCGCGUGCAGGAUGAAGGCCUUCGGGUCGUAAACUGCUGUCACACGUUAUGAAAAAGUGUGAGUUAAUACCUCACACCUUGACAAAGGCGUGAAAGGAAGCCACGGCUAACUUCGUGCCAGCAGCCGCGGUAAGACGAAGGUGGCUAGCGUUGCUCGGAAUUACUGGGCAUAAAGCGCGCGUAGGUGGUCGUGUAAGCGGGAGAUGAAAGCCCAUGGCUCACCCAUGGAACUGUCCCCCGGACUGCACGGCUCGAGGAAGGAAGGGGAGAAUGGAAUUCCCGGUGUAGCGGUGAAAUGCGUAGAUAUCGGGAGGAACGCCGGUGGCGAAAGCGAUUCUCUGGUCCUUUCCUGACACUGAGGCGCGAGAGCUAGGGGAGCAAACAGGAUUAGAUACCCUGGUAGUCCUAGCUGUAAACGAUGGGCACUAGGUAGAGGGGGUGUCGAUACUCUCUCUGUCGUAGCAAAUGUGUUAAGUGCCCCGCCUGGGGAGUACGGUCGCAAGGCUAAAACUCAAAG